RNAcentral lists this long non-coding RNA (399 nucleotides) under Mytilus galloprovincialis (Mediterranean mussel). Lineage: Eukaryota; Metazoa; Mollusca; Bivalvia; Mytilida; Mytilidae. The record is from RNAcentral.
AUUUCAAAGGGGCAUAAAUCUUAUUAAAAAGUCAAUCGGCCACCAUUAUUGACAUAUUGUUGAUAUUAACCUAUAAUAGUGCAAGUUUUAUAAUAAUCUGACAAGAACGGUACCCGUGAGAGCGCUAACGAGGCCACAUUUCAUAAAUUUGAUAUUCCAAAGGAGAAUAUAUUAACUCUUUAAAAUAAAUUCGGACGGCCACCAUAACAAAACUUGUCCGCCAUUUUGCUAAUAUUUACAUAUAGUAUAAGUUUUAUAAAAAUCUGGCAAGAAAUGUACAUGUGUGAGUAGCGGUAACAAGAUUGUUCGCAUGGACGGGCGGACGCCCGGUAUUUCUAUGUUCCCCGCAAAAGCGUACAUGUACGCGGGGGACAGUAAAAAAAAGAAGUUGAACAACAC